GCCGCGGUAGUAUAGCCCGGUCAAGUAUGCGGGCCUCUCGAGCCCGUGACACUAUCUCAAGUGCGGGAAACCCGGGUUCAAAUCCCGGCCGCGGCA
Molecule: transfer RNA, 96 nt
Filed under: Ignisphaera aggregans
Lineage: Archaea; Thermoproteati; Thermoproteota; Thermoprotei; Desulfurococcales; Desulfurococcaceae
Description: tRNA-Glu
Rfam family: tRNA
About the family: Transfer RNA (tRNA) molecules are approximately 80 nucleotides in length.
Source: RNAcentral